Molecule: long non-coding RNA, 239 nt
Filed under: Ananas comosus (pineapple)
Lineage: Eukaryota; Viridiplantae; Streptophyta; Magnoliopsida; Poales; Bromeliaceae
Description: long non-coding RNA (ACOM_LNC036779)
Source: RNAcentral
AUUUUUACAUUAAAUGUGCACUAUUUUUGUUGAACAGGGUGAUGUUAGUGUCUGUUACACCCUUUGUUCUGCUGCUUGUUCUCGUUUAUUUUAUCGGGCUCUUCUUUUCGUUAUUGCCUGUUAAUUGUCUAAGUGUCCCCUCGAGGCCCAAGCUGCCUUACUCUAUGUAGCUGAUUUCACCUACUUAAUGGAUGAUGCAGGUAGCAUGCUACCUUUUUCUCAAAAAAAAAACUCACAAU